RNAcentral lists this transfer RNA (62 nucleotides) under Marmota monax (woodchuck). Its description in RNAcentral is "tRNA.Undet". The record is from RNAcentral. Lineage: Eukaryota; Metazoa; Chordata; Mammalia; Rodentia; Sciuridae.
GGGGUUGUGGCUCAGUGGUAGAACACUCGUGCGAGGCCCUGGGUUCGAUCCUCAGCACCACA